GGUGACGUCGUGUCAGGUGCAUCGGUGAGUCGGAGGGGGCAAACGGUGAUGGGGAUCAUUGGGAGUACAGCGGACGUAGGCGGGUGUGCGAGGUGGACGUGAAAGCCCUAAGGGCAAGUGAGGACGGGCAGCCGAAACUGGCGAGCUUGAGUGCUGAAGAGGAGCGCGGAAUUCCCGGUGUAGAGGUGAAAUUCGUAGAUAGCGGGAGGAACACCAGUGGCGAAGGCGGCGAUCUGGGCAGACACUGACGCUGAGGUGCGAAAGCGUGGGGAGCAAACAGGAUUAGAUACCCCAGUAGUC
This 300-nucleotide ribosomal RNA is filed under the name uncultured archaeon. Its description in RNAcentral is "bacterial SSU rRNA". It matches the Rfam family "Bacterial small subunit ribosomal RNA", at positions 496 to 795 of the family's 1533-position model. The record is from RNAcentral.